RNAcentral lists this unclassified non-coding RNA (354 nucleotides) under soil metagenome. RNAcentral describes it as "partial contains 5.8S ribosomal RNA, internal transcribed spacer 2, and large subunit ribosomal RNA". The stretch from base 1 to 120 matches the Rfam family "5.8S ribosomal RNA", at positions 35 to 154 of the family's 154-position model. The record is from RNAcentral.
GAUGAAGAACGCAGCGAAAUGCGAUAAGUAAUGUGAAUUGCAGAAUUCAGUGAAUCAUCGAAUGUUUGAACGCACAUUGCGCCCAUUAGUAUUCUAGUGGGCAUGCCUGUUCGAGCGUCAUUAAGUCCACUUAAGCCCUGCUUAGUGUUGGGAGACUGCUCCAGCGGUGCUACCCUGUAGCUACCCUGCAGCUCCUCAAAGACAGCGGCGGAGUUGUGGUAUCCUCUGAGCUUAGUAACUUGUUCCAGCUUUCGAGUACACCACUUCCCCUGCCGUAAAACCCUUAAUUUUUAAUGGUUGACCUCGGAUCAGGUAGGAAUACCCGCUGAACUUAAGCAUAUCAAUAAGCGGAGA